This 427-nucleotide ribosomal RNA is filed under the name uncultured bacterium. RNAcentral's name for it is "bacterial SSU rRNA". It matches the Rfam family "Bacterial small subunit ribosomal RNA", at positions 355 to 774 of the family's 1533-position model. The record is from RNAcentral.
UAGGGAAUAUUGCGCAAUGGACGAAAGUCUGACGCAGCAACGCCGCGUGGGUGAUGAAGCAUCUUGGUGUGUAAAACCCUGUCAGUGGGGAAGAAACGUGAGAGGAGUCACUGCCUCUCGCCUGACGGUACCCACAAAAGAAGUCCCGGCUAACUCCGUGCCAGCAGCCGCGGUAAUACGGGGGGGACAAGCGUUGUUCGGAUUUACUGGGCGUAAAGGGCGCGUAGGCGGGCCUUCAAGUCGGUUGUGAAAACCUGAGGCUUAACGUCAGGCCUGCAUCCGAUACUGUUGGUCUUGAGUGCGGGAGAGGAAAGCGGAAUUCCAGGUGUAGCGGUGAAAUGCGUAGAUAUCUGGAAGAACACCAGUAGCGAAGGCGGCUUUCUGGACCGACACUGACGCUGAAGCGCGAAGGCUUGGGGAGCAAACA